UAUUCAACUCUGCCUAUCUGGCCUGGUUGCACUCUCUGAGGAUAUAAAAAUCAGAAAUUGCUACCAGGUUGGAUGUGCUUGGUUGGGUC
Molecule: microRNA precursor, 89 nt
Filed under: Ornithorhynchus anatinus (platypus)
Lineage: Eukaryota; Metazoa; Chordata; Mammalia; Monotremata; Ornithorhynchidae
Description: mir-1420 microRNA precursor family
Rfam family: mir-1420 microRNA precursor family
Source: Rfam by way of RNAcentral